RNAcentral lists this long non-coding RNA (215 nucleotides) under Elaeis guineensis (African oil palm). Its description in RNAcentral is "long non-coding RNA (EGUI_LNC057852)". Lineage: Eukaryota; Viridiplantae; Streptophyta; Magnoliopsida; Arecales; Arecaceae. The record is from RNAcentral.
ACCUCACUGGAGAUGAGCCACAACAGUUUGGUGUACCAGAUAGAAAGGAGAGAAUCCUUUUAGAAGUUAUAAUGGUCAAGGUGAGAUUGCAAACUGCUUCCCUUAGUUCCGCUCGAUGCUCAUCACGGUGUGACGUACUUUCGAUGACCUUCGAAGGCCGAGUGCCUCACAAUCGGAGAAAACAGCAGACUAGCAACAGCUUGCCGCCUUGGUAU